RNAcentral lists this ribosomal RNA (329 nucleotides) under uncultured bacterium. Its description in RNAcentral is "bacterial SSU rRNA". It matches the Rfam family "Bacterial small subunit ribosomal RNA", at positions 570 to 898 of the family's 1533-position model. The record is from RNAcentral.
CGUAGGUGGUGGUUUAAGAUUGUUGUGAAAUCCCUGGGCUUAACCUAGGAACUGCAACGAUGACUGAAUCGCUUGAGUAUUGUAGAGGGUAGUGGAAUUUCCGGUGUAGCGGUGAAAUGCGUAGAGAUCGGAAGGAACACCAGUGGCGAAGGCGGCUACCUGGACAAAUACUGACACUGAGGCGCGAGAGCGUGGGGGAGCAAACAGGAUUAGAUACCCUGGUAGUCCACGCUGUAAACGAUGAAGACUAGAUGUUGGCCAGCAUGACUGGUUAGUAUCGAAGCAAACGCGAUAAGUCUUCCGCCUGGGAGUACGGCCGCAAGGUUAAA